UACGGAGGGAGCUAGCGUUGUUCGGAAUUACUGGGCGUAAAGCGCACGUAGGCGGCUUUUUAAGUCAGGGGUGAAAUCCCGGGGCUCAACCCCGGAACUGCCCUUGAAACUGGAAAGCUAGAAUCUUGGAGAGGCGAGUGGAAUUCCGAGUGUAGAGGUGAAAUUCGUAGAUAUUCGGAAGAACACCAGUGGCGAAGGCGACUCACUGGACACAUAUUGACGCUGAGGUGCGAAAGCGUGGGGAGCGAACAGG
Molecule: ribosomal RNA, 253 nt
Filed under: uncultured bacterium
Lineage: Bacteria
Description: partial 16S ribosomal RNA
Rfam family: Bacterial small subunit ribosomal RNA
Source: RNAcentral